UUCACAGUGUGGCACUGCCAGCAGGGCUCCGUGCCGCCAGCACACGGGCAGUGCCUCCAAGGUGCCCCCUCUGCUCCAAAGCCACGCAGCGGUGAGCAGCAGCUGGCCAAAGCCAGCACAGGAAGGUGGAGGCUGGAAAUGCUUUGCACAAAAGCCCCGCUGCUGCUUUAGCAGCUCGUCGUGUGGCAAGGGAACCAAAAUGUCUGAUGAGCUAAGAAUGGGCUUCCUGCUGGUAUUGUACUUCAGACCCUGGCCAAGCACUUCUGCAAAAGAUUUGGGCUCUGUUGCGUUUUACCCAGGCCAAGUCCUUCUGUUAGUGUUGUUUCUGCCAUGUCUCAACAUACAUGGCUUCCUGGUUUCUUUUUUUUUUUUUCCGUUAUAAUUUUGUUCUUGAUUUUUGGUGUGACUUGUUGUACUCUAUGACAAUAACCUUCUUAGCUCUAAUGUCCCUCCUACCCCUCAGCAGUUGACCAAGCUCCACCAGUUGGCUAUGCAGCAAACCCCCUUUACUCCCCUUGGACAGACCACCCCCGCUUUCCCUGGAGAAAAGCUGCCCUUACAUUCCUCCGAAGAAGCUCAAAAUCUGAUGGGCCAAUCAUCAGGUAAAACACAAAGCUACAGGGAAAUCAGUAGGCGGCUGUUGAAAAGUACUUCUGAAGUAGGACUGUGCCGUUGUUGUGCUCCUGGAUAAAUCGUCUUGUUUGUGGAGAAGUGAGCAUGCUUUCUGGUGGGCAGGUAGAGACCAGGCAGCACCAUGCCUGCCAUCUCCCUCCGUGCAGCACGCCCGAAGAAAAGCACCUCUAGUUCCUUACCUGGUUUUUGAUGUUUGUCUAUGGCUGCCAUCUCCGUAAUGGAAAGACAUCAGGGUCACCGCCCUUAUUCUUCCAUUUAAUUUUGCAUAAACCUCGCCCAGAAACAGUAGAAAAAAUGCUUGUGGGAAUGGAAAUAACAUUUUAGCUGUCUCUCAGCCGUUCAAGGAGAGCUGCAUUUUUAGUGGAACAGGACCCCAAGGAGACAAAGCAUGGCCGUAAUCUUGGAAAAAUUUCCAUUUCAAAUGUCCCUGGCAGCUGCACA
This 1074-nucleotide long non-coding RNA is filed under the name Anas zonorhyncha (Eastern spot-billed duck). RNAcentral's name for it is "lncRNA (ENSAZOG00000013499.1)". Lineage: Eukaryota; Metazoa; Chordata; Aves; Anseriformes; Anatidae. The record is from RNAcentral.